UGGUUGUCGUGAUGGGCGUAUGGUGGAUGCCUUGGCAGACAGUACCGAUGAAGGACGUGUGGGGCCGCGAUAGUCCUGGGGGAGCCGCCGACAUGGCUUUGAUCCCAGGGUGUCCGAAUGGGGCAACCCGCCAGCCGUCAUGGGCUGGCACCGCACUUGUGCGGGGGGUACGCAGGGAAGUGAAACAUCUCAGUACCUGCAGGAGAGGAUACUCCGUGAGUAGUGGCGAGCGAAAGCGGAUGAUGGCUAAACCGUGCGCGUGUGAUACCCGUCGGGGGUUGCGCGCAUGGUGUCGUGGGAACGCCUGUCCAACGGCCGACGCCGUUGGCUGUGGUGAUAAAUGCAUGCGUGAGGCGAACCGGGUUGGAUACCGGGCCGUAGAGGGUGAUGGCCCCGUAGCCGUAUGCGCGUGCACCAUGGAUGGUGUCUCCCGAGUAGCGCGGGACUCGUGGAAUCCCGUGUGAAUCCGCCCGGACCGUCGGGUAAGCCUGAGUAUACCUGUCUGACCGAUAGCGUACGAGUACCGUGAGGGAAAGGUGAAAAGCACCCCGGGAGGGGAGUGAAAGAGUUCCUGAAACCGUGCGCCCGCGAACCGUCGGAGCCCCCUUGGUGGGGUGACGGCGUGCCUAUCGAAAAAUGAGUCUGCGAGUCAGUGGCAUGUGGCGAGCAUAAGCCGUGUGGUGUAUGCGUAGCGAAAGCGAGUCUUAAAAGGCGUCUUUUCAGUCGCGUGUCCUGGACCCGAAGCGGGAUGAUCUAGCCCUGGUCAGGUUGAAGCGCGGGUAAGACCGCGUGGAGGACCGCACCCACUUAGGUUGAAAACUGAGGGGAUGAACUGGGGUUAGGGGUGAAAGGCCAAUCAAAUUCCGUGAUAGCUGGUUCUCUUCGAAAUGCAUUUAGGUGCAGCGUCGGUUGAUUGCGUGUGGGGGGUAGAGCUACUGGAUGCUUGCGGGCCCGUGCCGGGUACCAACAGCAACCAAACUCCGAAUACCCAUCGCGUCUAUUCCGGCAGUGAGUCGGCGGGGGAUAAGCUCCGUCGUCGAGGGGGAGACAGCCCUGACCGUCGUCUAAGGUCCCCAAGCGCGUGCUAAGUGGGAAAGGAUGUGGAGUCGCAUAGACAGCCAGGAGGUUGGCUCAGAAGCAGCCAUCCUUGAAAGAGUGCGUAACAGCUCACUGGUCUAGUGGUUCCGCGCCGACAAUGUAGCGGGGCUCAAGCACGCCACCGAAGACGCGGAUGCGGCCGUAUGGCCGUGUGGUAGGAGAGCGUCCCACACCGGGGCGAAGCGGCGGGGGAACCCGGCCGUGGACUGUGUGGGAGUGAGAAUGCAGACAUGAGUAGCGAGAGCAGGGUGAGGAUCCCUGCCGCUGGAAGACCAAGGGUUCCAGGGCCACGUUCGUCGUCCCUGGGUGAGUCGGGUCCUAAGGCGAGGCCGACAGGCGUAGUCGAAUGGAUGAACGGGUCGAUAUUCCCGUACCGGCUUUCGGACCGACCAACAGCCCGUGUGAACAAGGGCCAUCCGAUACGGUUGAUGGGGGCUUCGGCCUCCUGAUUCCGUUGCUGUUUGGCCUGGACGCGCAUGGGUUGAGCGUUUCAGGAGUGACGCGGACGGGUAGCCGGCCGGGGAGGUGGUUUUCCCUGGUCAAGCGUGUGGCCCCGCCCCCAGGCAAAUCCGGGGGCUUCAUGGGGUGAGGCGUGAUGAUGGGCGCUUUCAUGGCGUGAUAUCCGGUGAUCCCGUCGGCCGAGAAAAGCUUCGGCGCGAGGUCCGUUGCCGCCCGUACCCCAAACCGACACAGGUGGUCUGGUAGAGUAUACCGAAGCGAUCGAGCGAAUCCUGGUCAAGGAACUCGGCAAAUUGCUCCCGUGCCUUCGGCAUAAGGGAGACCCCCGGCCGUGCCGGCCCCUUGCGGGUCGUGGGCGGCUGGGGGUGGCACAGGCCAGGGGGUAGCGACUGUUUACCAAAAACACAGGUGCAUGCCAAGACGCAAGUCGCCGUAUAUGCACUGACGCCUGCCCGGUGCCGGAAGGUUAAGAGGAUCCAUCAGCGUCCCCUCGCGGGAUGCGAAGUGGUGAAUUCAAGCCCCGGUAAACGGCGGUGGUAACUAUAACCAUCCUAAGGUAGCGAAAUUCCUUGUCGGGUAAGUUCCGACCUGCACGAAUGGCGUAACGACUUCCCCGCUGUCUCGACCAGGAGCUCGGCGAAAUUGCAGUACGAGUAAAGAUGCUCGUUAAGCGCAGAAGGACGAAAAGACCCCGGGACCUUUACUAUACCUUG
Molecule: ribosomal RNA, 2270 nt
Filed under: Bifidobacterium animalis subsp. lactis
Lineage: Bacteria; Bacillati; Actinomycetota; Actinomycetes; Bifidobacteriales; Bifidobacteriaceae
Also listed under: 1 other name
Description: bacterial LSU rRNA
Rfam family: Bacterial large subunit ribosomal RNA
Source: RNAcentral